UGGCUUCCGGGUUGGAUGCGUGCUGUGUUAAAGAAGCAGUGCGGCUUGGUGGGGUUGUGUUUCGGAGGAUGCAUGGCUUUCGACCUUGUCUGACAUGCUAUCCCCAGAGCCUGUACGAGAGUUGUAGCGAGAGUUGUAGCGAUGAGACAAGAUAGUAACUACUAUGGGGAGAAAAAGGGGGUAAAAUAAAAAAAAUAAAAAAGUUUUUAUUUGAAUAAAUCAGAAAAGUUCAGACAGGUACUGUAUCUUUUUUUACAGGUCCCACAGAGAACAUCCUGCAAAGCUCCACAUGGACCUACGAUAGCACUUCCAGAGUGCGUCUGGUCAACGGCACCAACAACUGCUCUGGUAGAGUGGAGGUGUUCCACUUUGGCCAGUGGGGUACAGUGUGUGAUGAUUGGUGGGAUCUGAGAGAUGCCCAGGUGGUGUGCAGAGAGUUGGGCUGUGGAGAAGCUCAAGAGGCCUUUAGAUCUGCAGAGUUUGGAGAAGGAAGUGACUCCAUCUCUCUGGAUGACCUGGCUUGUUCUGGCUCUGAAGACUCUUUGCUGCAGUGUCCCCACAGUGGACUGGGGAACCAUAACUGUGUCCACUAUGAAGAUGCAGGAGUUACCUGCACUGGUCCUUCUGGAGGCAUCCAGCCAUUCAACUCAUCAUGGACCCAGGGUUCUGGUUCCGGAGGUUUCUGAAAGCAUAUAGAUCUCUCAUCUGUACAGUCUAGGAGUAUCAAGGGUUAACCAUAAACACUGUAUGUACGUUCUAAUUCUAUUUGUCGUCAAAUCUCUCCAGUUGGUACAUGCUGCUGUGCAAAUUAAACACACUUCUAAUAAUACAGUGUGGUAAACCAUAGUCCGUAACAAUUAAUUUCCAGCCAGAUGAGACUCUUGCUUUCUGCAAGAAAGUGGGGUGGAACCAUUUCAAAUUCUGCCUCAUGUACUGUAUCAUUCACAAUGGCCAUCAAUAAUGACACAAUGCCAAGAAGAUCCUGUGUCACAGGUCCAGGACCGAGAAGGUGAAAACAACCUAGGCCAGCCAAGCACCAAAGACCUUCUGAAUUUGAACUCAAAUACAGUUCAAAUGCAAUCACAUGACCUGUAAGAUGAAUAUGCAUAAGGUUUUGAAAAUGGUUUGUAUAGUGUUCACAUGCUGUAACUAACAAAUCAGUAUAUGAACUAAAUUCAAUUCCCCCCAAAAAUCAGAAAACAUUGGGAAAUGUUCAAUUAAUGGAUUUAAUUUAAAUGAAUUAAUGAUAUUUAGUCUUUUAAAGGUUUGUUGACAUUUUUCUGGUUAUACUAAACAUUGUAUUGUUCCUUUCAUGGUUAGGACAUUCUGUUACUUGUAGAAUGCUGUGUGUCCUAUUCCCAAGCUAGUCUAUUGUGAAUUAUCAUUAAAUAUCUUUAAUUAAAUCAAAACAAAUACUGUAUUGUUCUUCAAAAUAAUUUGGAAUUUUACCCAUAUAUUCACCAAGGUGCACAUAAGAGUAAGUUCACAUGCUAAGUUCCUCUCCAUCUUCUCUAUCAAUAGAGAGCAACAAUAGGCCAUCGUUAGAUUAAAAACCAAAACAAGUAUUUAACCUUUUUAACUAGAAUGCCAGCAUCCCGGAGUCGCCACUUCACUGUUGACUUUGAGACUGGUGUUUUGCGGGUGCUAUUUAAUGAAACUGCAAGUUGAAGACUUGCAAGGCGUCUGUCAGAGUGGCCAUCGGAUUCUUGGUCACCUCCCUGACCAAGG
Non-coding RNA from Oncorhynchus mykiss (rainbow trout), 1728 nucleotides. The record is from RefSeq and is a predicted model, not a curated record. Lineage: Eukaryota; Metazoa; Chordata; Actinopteri; Salmoniformes; Salmonidae.